Molecule: ribosomal RNA, 613 nt
Filed under: uncultured bacterium
Lineage: Bacteria
Description: bacterial SSU rRNA
Rfam family: Bacterial small subunit ribosomal RNA (bases 1-528)
Source: RNAcentral
CCUACGGGAGGCAGCAGUGGGGAAUAUUGCACAAUGGGCGCAAGCCUGAUGCAGCAACGCCGCGUGAGGGACGACGGCCUUCGGGUUGUAAACCUCUUUUAGUAGGGAAGAAGCGAAAGUGACGGUACCUGCAGAAAAAGCACCGGCUAACUACGUGCCAGCAGCCGCGGUAAUACGUAGGGUGCAAGCGUUAUCCGGAAUUAUUGGGCGUAAAGAGCUCGUAGGCGGUUUGUCGCGUCUGCUGUGAAAACUGGAGGCUCAACCUCCAGCCUGCAGUGGGUACGGGCAGACUAGAGUGCGGUAGGGGAGAUUGGAAUUCCUGGUGUAGCGGUGGAAUGCGCAGAUAUCAGGAGGAACACCGAUGGCGAAGGCAGAUCUCUGGGCCGUAACUGACGCUGAGGAGCGAAAGCAUGGGGAGCGAACAGGAUUAGAUACCCUGGUAGUCCAUGCCGUAAACGUUGGGAACUAGAUGUAGGGACCAUUCCACGGUUUUCUGUGUCGCAGCUACGACAUUAACGUUACCCCGUCCCGUCGGGAGGUACGGCCGGCGACGGACGUAAACGUACAAGAAGUAGUAGACGCGNGAGACGCGACGACGACGACGACGGAGGAG